CCGGCCCCCGGCGCGCCCCUUGCAGGCAGCCCACGCAGUCGGAGUCCCCGCCCCCAACCCGAGCGGGAGUCGCCAGCUGUCCCGGGGCCGAGACACUCUCUCCUUGACCCGGCUCUCGCUCUCGUCCGGCUCCUCUGAACCCUCAUCUAGGCCCUGCCUCUGGAGCUUCCCUGCUCCUCUCUGCAUUGUCCAAUUUUCGCAAGCAUCCUACCGAGUCAUUUGAGCCAGGAGCCCCACCCUCCAAUCCUGAUCGCCCUCAAGUUUGGGCGGGCUUCUCAUUUUUCACCAUUCCCCAGCGUACAGCAGCCUCAAAGAGGCCAGCAAAGAAACCCCAGGUCGCAGAUGUGACAGACAUGACAAAAACACAGAGGAAACUUCUCCCACCAGAGCAAUCUUCUACCGCAUUUUGAGGUAAAAGGAUGAUUAGAACUGACCAUCUGGCCCCAAAAUGUGAAAUUAUCAAGACACCAUGUGAAAUGUGAUUUGCAACAGAUCCGCCAAGGGAAUAAUUACCCUCCGCAGGCCAGAGGUGCACAACUGUGGACCUUGAUCCGAAGCUUGGAAACUCCCUACCCUGAAGAUCUCUACUAAGUUGUGUGGCGCUUUUGGUUUCUCUAAAGCACGUUCACCUGCUGGGCCAGGAGAGUUUAACUCAAUCAAGGCUUGAAGAGAUAAACCAAUGGUUUCAAGUCACAAAACCAACCAGUCCAGCACCGAGGUCACCUGGCUGCAGGCUGCACCCGGACUCUGCCUGCAGUCUUUCCAGGGGGGCCACACCAGGGGCAGGACCCACCUCUCUGGUUCCUCAGAAGUAUUAGAACCACUGACCUCCAGGGUCCUCUGCUCUCAAGCUGGGAGCCAGAACAAACCCAAGUCUAACUGGUGAAGCGUCAUUUUUUGUGUGUGUGAAUGAAAGAAAAUACUUAUCAGUGGAACCACUCCCCCCAUACGUGCCUCCCUAAAACUUCUUCCCAGCAAGCCGAAAAAUGAGGUCUGAGAAGCAGGAAACCUUUGCGUCUGCAUAGAAGCUGCUUGAAGGGAGAGAAGCCCAGGCAGGGGAGAGAACACCCGAGCGGUGGCAUCUGGAUGGGAUGAAGCGAACCGCUGAAGUGCUCUGAAAGCCGUGCUCCUGGGGCCAAGAGGAGGCGGCAAGCAGACCGGUCCCGAGGACAGCGAGGGGCGUGCAGCCUGGGCCAGAGCCGGGGUCCACACCUGCACCAGGGACACAGGCUCCAGGACCCGAGGCUGGACUGGCUUGCUGGCUUCCCCGCUACCCUGCCCUUGCCCCAAAUAAGGGGAGGGGUCUUGCUGGGGUUCUGGGUAGGUGCCAAGCAGCUAUUGUGAAGAAGGGAAAUUCCAAGUUUUGACACGUUUUACUGGAGGAUGAAAGCGCAUCCUGGAGGGGUAUGGGUGCGACCAGGAGGAAGGCCAGGGUGAAUGCAUCCUGACGAGCCCUCAGGAUGGCGCAAAGACUGGGGAGAAGCAGGCCAGGAGGGGGCAGGUUUCCGUAUUUGCUCAUUUCAAAAGGGUUUGUGUUUUGUGUUUUUAGGCAGUGCUGUGGAAACCCACACAAUCCUAAACUGAACUGAAAACAAAUGCCCAGAGCAUAAAGGAAAAGACAGAAGACACAGCUUUUCAAGUGUUUCUUUGCAAUCCUUGAAGACGUUUCGGUACCAGUGGAGACAGUACUGACGAGAGAGAAUGGGUACAAGAUAGAAAGUGAGACAAAACUUUGAAGUUCAGCAGGCCAUGUUCUCACUCGAACGAAACACAUGACCGCUUCUUAAACGUCCUACGGCAUCGCUGGGGGACGUGAACAAUUUGCUGUUUCAGUGCAGAAGACGGGGAAACUGUAAAUGGAGAGUCUUGGUUUUCUUCGUUUGAGUAGAGGGUCACCAAGGUAGAAAUAGGUAAAAAUGUGUAAGUCACUACUUCUUAGUCUCUGGUGUUCUCUCAUAAUGGAGCCACAUAAAUACCUACUUUCCUCCACAUCCCAGCAGAAGGGUGCCAAGGCGUCAGCACCAACUUCUUCCCGAUUUUCCAUAAGUAGGUAACAGGCCCACGCCUGGCCCGCCUCAGAUGGAAAAGCAAGCUAGGGAGACCCGCUUCGGUGCUCUCGCCGUUCACCAGCAGAGGGCGCUGGCACCGGGCUCCGGUCAACCUCAAGGAUGUGAAGUUGACAGAACGACAGGAGCCCCAGUGGCAGAGGGACCCGAGUGCAGAAGGCAGCCGGGAGCAGAAGCCUGGGACCCUAACCUCAUCCCAAGAAGCUCCACCGACGCAGGGAAGAAAAGGAACGCUGUGACCUGACUGGAGCUCAAAGAAACAGAACAGCACAUGCCACAGCGGGCCAGCGGGGUGCGGGAGAGGCCGUCCUACCCCGAAGGCGGAGCAAACCUCCCCCAAGGCUCAGCCCUGCAGCAGUGGGCGCGCAGGGGAGGCUGGCGGCUGACCGGCUCCCUGCGGGAACAUGUGCCUCUUCAAGGACAAGGGGUGAAGGGACACGCUCUGCUGCACACACACGUUCCAGAAAGAGAUACCAGGUGACCGCGAGAGCAUUCUUUUUUUAAAAAACUGAUGAAAAACGAGCAAAUAUAUACAAAAUACUGUCAAUCCCUCCUGGGCCAACAGAGCAGCCAUCACGAUGCGUCUCCUGCUUCGUGAGCUCUCCUCCUGCCCCCGGAGCAGGCCUGCGGCACAGCCCAGCCUGUGGGUCUCCGGGGCACUCGUGCCACGGCUCCGUGCGGCUCCCGGCUCCCGUCCAGUCUCUCCCUGAAGACUCCCCGCACUGGCAAGGAGUGGAAGCAGACUGCCCUGUCUUCCCGUCCCAUCUCCCCACACCCCCCAGAAUAAUACUGCUUCCGUGGGCAUCCCUCGGGUUGGGCCCCAUCAGAGUUUAUGCGCCAGGAGGGUGGUCAGCUUGAUCUUGCCAUCCAUGGAGGCAGUGAGGCACGUCCCACAGUCCAUGGCGGUGCUCCAGUCCACAGUGACCACGGGGGCUCGGUGGCCGCCCAGGCUCAAGCAGCUCUCCAGAACCUUCUCAUCCCCACCCAGCUGCAAGACAAGAGAGGCGGCGUCAGCAGGCACUGUUCACAAACACAACUACUUUAUUCACCAAACUGCCUCGAGCCUGGUGGCUGCUACCCCAAUCUGAGGACAUGCCCGGGCACACAUGCCCACCUUUCCAGAAGAUCUCAGUUUAAUUUCUUGGGCCAGGAAGCGCCUUCCCUACCUCAGCUAUAGUUACUCCUUCGUCUCAGGUGGAAAACAAGAUCAUACAUUCUCAAGGACCAGAGAAUUUUCUCUGCCACCUUUAACCGGCACCCCCCGCCCAGUUCUUUUCCUACAUGGUUUACCGCUCCCCAGCAUUAGAUCCUGGAUCUGCUGCUCGGCUGCCCAUUUGCUUCCCACAGGAAUGCGAGCCGCGGCGCCCAGCAUAGUGCUGGCACAGGCAGGCCCCUGAGGACACAGGCACAGGCUCCCCCUCUCCCACCAAGCCCACAGCUAUGAAGAGUCAGCAGGUAACGAGGAAGGGGAAGCCAGGAGCACAAUGAAUAAUGAUUAAUCCGGCUAUGGAUAACACCCAGGAGUAGGACGCAGAAGUCUCUGGCCUUUGUGGAGAAAACAUCUUUAAAAAUCAUAAGUUGUUUAAAAAAUAAAUCAAUAAAUCAAUAUCAAAUAAAAAA
Molecule: long non-coding RNA, 3686 nt
Organism: Felis catus (domestic cat)
Lineage: Eukaryota; Metazoa; Chordata; Mammalia; Carnivora; Felidae
Exons: 2
Source: RefSeq, a predicted model, not a curated record